This 397-nucleotide ribosomal RNA is filed under the name uncultured bacterium. Its description in RNAcentral is "partial 16S ribosomal RNA". It matches the Rfam family "Bacterial small subunit ribosomal RNA", at positions 523 to 918 of the family's 1533-position model. The record is from RNAcentral.
AUACGUAGGGGGCGAGCGUUGUCCGGAAUGAUUGGGCGUAAAGGGCGCGUAGGCGGCGCGGUAAGUCUGGAGUGAAAGUCCUGCUUUCAAGGUGGGAAUUGCUUUGGAUACUGCCGCGCUUGAGUGCAGGAGAGGUUAUCGGAAUUCCCGGUGUAGCGGUGAAAUGCGUAGAGAUCGGGAGGAACACCAGUGGCGAAGGCGGGUAACUGGACUGCAACUGACGCUGAGGCGCGAAAGUGUGGGGAGCAAACAGGAUUAGAUACCCUGGUAGUCCACACUGUAAACGAUGAAUGCUAGGUGUAAGAGGUAUCGACCCCUUUUGUGCCGGAGUCAACACAAUAAGUAUUCCGCCUGGGGAGUACGGCCGCAAGGUUGAAACUCAAAUGAAUUGGCGGGG